AUAACAAUAUGGACCUCUCUAACGAUGGUCCAUAAUUGGAAUGAGUUGAGCAUAAAUCCUUCUACAAGGAUCCAGUGGAGGGCAAGUCUGGUGCCAGCAGCCGCGGUAAUUCCAGCUCCAC
This 121-nucleotide non-coding RNA is filed under the name Anopheles dirus. RNAcentral describes it as "eukaryotic small subunit ribosomal RNA". It matches the Rfam family "Eukaryotic small subunit ribosomal RNA", at positions 477 to 594 of the family's 1831-position model. The record is from RNAcentral. Lineage: Eukaryota; Metazoa; Arthropoda; Insecta; Diptera; Culicidae.